Molecule: ribosomal RNA, 126 nt
Filed under: Halomonas sp.
Lineage: Bacteria; Pseudomonadati; Pseudomonadota; Gammaproteobacteria; Oceanospirillales; Halomonadaceae
Description: partial 16S ribosomal RNA
Rfam family: Bacterial small subunit ribosomal RNA
Source: RNAcentral
AAACUGAAGAGUUUGAUCAUGGCUCAGAUUGAACGCUGGCGGCAGGCUUAACACAUGCAAGUCGAGCGGUAACAGGGGUAGCUUGCUACCCGCUGACGAGCGGCGGACGGGUGAGUAAUGCAUAGG